Asterias rubens (European starfish) is the source of this 616-nucleotide long non-coding RNA. RefSeq lists it as uncharacterized. The record is from RefSeq and is a predicted model, not a curated record. Lineage: Eukaryota; Metazoa; Echinodermata; Asteroidea; Forcipulatida; Asteriidae. The transcript has 3 exons.
GUUGUUUGCUAUAGAUCAGACUUGAACAGUUUACAGUUGGAAAAAGGACAUAUACCACGCUGAAUUUUGGAAGAGAAAAUUUGCUGUUUCUGACGCUGUUUCACCUUGUCUUCCGGGACCACACUUACACAGAACACGCAAGGAAAAUAGUCGGGCACCAGGCAUGAUUUAGGAUGAAUCUUUUCAAGCGAGGAAUAUCCGAACCUUUAAGUUUCUGUAUGUGGAUUUAUGGCGAAGCAAACCAACAAGUUGAGAUGGGUUUACAUGGAAUUUACUGUGUCUUCCCGGCUAUGUUCGAGGAGGCCAUUUUAAAGUCGACUUGUCGAUUCUAUGACAAAAGGCGGUGCGAGGAUGUGAAGAGCACCCAAUCAGCAAAGCUGGUUGUUUCCAAUGAUCGAAUCCAAGGAUUGGUCAACUCGACAUGGAAAUGUUUAACAUCUUUGGCGAAUUGUAUUCUAGCUAUCAAAUCUGAGCGAAACUAAACUGCAUACACCAAACAGGUCUGUGACAACACGUGGUCAUCCAAAAGGCAUUUUGCCAAUCCCAGCAUUCUAGUUUACAGCAUCACCGUAUCUCAUUUGAAGGAGCUUGUGCUAUGGAGGGGUGCGUCAAUGCG